This 233-nucleotide ribosomal RNA is filed under the name uncultured bacterium. Its description in RNAcentral is "partial 16S ribosomal RNA". It matches the Rfam family "Bacterial small subunit ribosomal RNA", at positions 91 to 334 of the family's 1533-position model. The record is from RNAcentral.
AUUAGUGGCGGACGGGUGAGUAACAUUUAGGAAUCUACCUAGUAUGGGGGAUAGCUCGGGGAAACUCGAAUUAAUACCGCAUACGACCUACGGGUGAAAGGGGGCGCAAGCUCUUGCUAUUAGAUGAGCCUAAAUCAGAUUAGCUAGUUGGUGGGGUAAAGGCCCACCAAGGCGACGAUCUGUAACUGGUCUGAGAGGAUGAUCAGUCACACCGGAACUGAGACACGGUCCGG